Molecule: long non-coding RNA, 423 nt
Organism: Zophobas morio
Lineage: Eukaryota; Metazoa; Arthropoda; Insecta; Coleoptera; Tenebrionidae
Exons: 3
Source: RefSeq, a predicted model, not a curated record
UUAAGCGAGUGAAUCUUAGAGGUCUUAAACUUUUUAGAGUUUGUGAUGUCUCGAGCAACUUCAUUUCGGGACACGGUUCCUUUUGAAAAGAGAAAAAGCGAUUCCGCUCGAAUGCGGGCCAAAUUUCCGGAUAGAAUACCCGUAAUAGUGGAGCGUGCUAAGAAAUGUAAUCUUCUCGAGAUUGACAGGAAAAAGUAUCUUGUCCCUAUGGACUUAACUGUGUGGCAAUUCAUUAUCAUAAUUAGAAAACGCGUAAAACUUUCGCCCGAAAGGGCUUUAUUUUUAAUUGUUAACAACGUGAUUCCAUCUACUUCUGCUGUAAUGAAUGCAGUCUAUGAAGAACAAAAAUCUGCAGAUGGUUUUUUAUAUAUGACUUAUACUGGUGAGGAUACGUUUGGUUUGCUUAAUACGUUUAUAUAAAUG